This 406-nucleotide non-coding RNA is filed under the name Drosophila simulans. RNAcentral's name for it is "Eukaryotic large subunit ribosomal RNA". It matches the Rfam family "Eukaryotic large subunit ribosomal RNA", at positions 3003 to 3401 of the family's 3401-position model. The record is from Rfam by way of RNAcentral. Lineage: Eukaryota; Metazoa; Arthropoda; Insecta; Diptera; Drosophilidae.
GGCGGUUGUUCCUAUAGCAAAGUGUGGCAGUCCGGUUUCGGAGACGCGGACGACCAUGCACAACUGUCGGGGACAGGGUAGAGGUAGUCCGUGAUAGCUGACGCUCUAAGUUGUAUCGUGCUGACUGCAUGAUAAUAAGGGGCAUUUGCAUGUAUGGCUUCUAACCAUUAAGUUAUAAUUUAUUUAUAACGACAAUGGAUGUGAUGCCAUGUAAUUUGUACAUAGUAAAUAGGAGGAUCUUCGAUCACCUGAUGCCGCGCUAGUUACAUAUAAAAGCAUUAUUUAAUACAAUGACAAAGCCUAGAAUCAAUUGUAAACGACUUUUGUAACAGGCAAGGUGUUGUAAGUGGUUGAGCAGCUGCCAUACUGCGAUCCACUGAAGCUUAUCCUUUGCUUGAUGAUUCGA